Etheostoma spectabile (orangethroat darter) is the source of this 437-nucleotide long non-coding RNA. RefSeq lists it as uncharacterized. The transcript has 2 exons. Lineage: Eukaryota; Metazoa; Chordata; Actinopteri; Perciformes; Percidae. The record is from RefSeq and is a predicted model, not a curated record.
UGUUAUCAGCUUUUAUACUUGAAUUUUCAUAUGUUAUGAUGUUUUAUCUGGUCACAGAUAUAUCAUAUUAAGGUGCAUGUUAAAUUUCUGUUUGACUAUAGCCCUUUUUUUGUUGAUGCCUAGGGUUUUUUUUCUUAAAGUGUUAUGAUCAUGGUGAAUAUUGGUUUGGGCUAUGUGUUGCUUUCACAAGGAUCUCACUGGGGUAACAGCUUGCAUUGCUGUCUUCUGCUACAGUGUCUUUUCGGGCCUACUGGGGGUUUCCAAUGUCACAAAUGUUCACAUCCAGCUAAUGGUGGCAUUAAUAUCAUCAGCAGUUAUCUAAAACAAAUAUUCAGAGAAAACCUGAAACAACAAGUCUGGCGACGGUUACAAAAUGCCUAUCUACACCUCUAAAACUCCGAAAGGAACAUGUUAUAUCCUGUUUGUUUAAUCUGUAC